RNAcentral lists this long non-coding RNA (784 nucleotides) under Homo sapiens (human). RNAcentral's name for it is "HSALNT0059675". Lineage: Eukaryota; Metazoa; Chordata; Mammalia; Primates; Hominidae. The record is from RNAcentral.
CCCCCGGCCUGGCCAUGGCCCCAGCCUCGGCGCCCCGCGGGCAUCCUCAGGCCUGGCCGCGGGCACCCCAGUUCCCCUUCCUCACCUAAAAUUCUCGCUGCGCCCCUCCCUCCCUGGGACUAGGAGCCGCAUCCAGCCUGCGGUCCCGUCACCAGACCUGGGUGGAGCGCGGUCUUCCCCCGCCCCCGGCCAGGGCUCCAGCGCCCCCAGUCCUAGCUCCCCUCUUUUGUAUCCCCCUUUAAUCCCCCUCCCCCCAUUUAACCCAACUUCAGCCCCGGCGCUGCGCCCCCCUUCCCUGGCCCGGCUCGAUUGGCCGCUUCCGGAGCUGUCAGACUACAGUCCGGCGCUCUUAUUGGGCGAUUCUCUGGCCCGGCGGCUGUGCCAAAGGAGGGCGCACCGGGUGGGGGGCGCCUGGGCAGCGAGUGCCUCAAGGAGAAGGAGAACAGAGUCCCUGGAGGGGUCUCAGGGGCCGGAGAGCCAGACCCGGAAAUGGACAGGGGAGAUGCAGAAACAGGACUUCUGAGACGCAGGAAGACAGUGAUGGAAAAGAUGAGCUUCUGACAGGGAGCCUAGAGGUCUAAGUGAGCUUCCUUCUUUGUCUCUCUCUGCUGGUCAUCUCUGCAGACUGGAAGAUAAACCUUGCCAGAGUUACAAAUUGGGAGGAGAAAAAUUCCAAGAGGUCAGAAUAAACUAACCCUUGGGUAAUCCAGCCUUUGAGUAUUCCACUAUUAGCCAAGUUGUAAAAAAAAACAUGAAUUUAGUCAAUAAAAAUUCUAGAGAACCC